RNAcentral lists this unclassified non-coding RNA (272 nucleotides) under Ascaris lumbricoides (common roundworm). Its description in RNAcentral is "ITS2". The record is from RNAcentral. Lineage: Eukaryota; Metazoa; Nematoda; Chromadorea; Rhabditida; Ascarididae. RNAcentral also lists the same sequence under 1 other name.
AUUGAAAGAGUUGCCAUUUAUGAAUUUUCAACAUUCAUAGAGAAUGGCAUGUAUAUUCGAUAAGCUAUGAUAGUGGACAAAUGAGAAGUACUAUCGUACCUUAUUUAGCUAAUCUAUGAUUCAAUAUCUCGUUGUAAUUUGCUUAAACGAGAUGAGCGAGAGAGAAUAUAUACAUCAAAACGCUCUUAAAAGACGAUUCCAGCGUAUAUUGUGUGAAUGGCAUAGUUGGAAAGAAAGAUGAGCGUGACAAUAAUGAUGUAUAUGAAAAAUUU